GCGGAUGCAGGCGUCGUCCUGGUUUGUCCUCGCUGGUCGGUGGCACUCCGUGGUUACGUGGUUGGCUCUGCUCAAGGGCAUGAGCAACCCUCCUACCUGCAGCUUGGCAUCUAUGGCGGCAAAGAAAUCCAAUCCGAGUAGCACGUCGUCGAGAGCCGAUGGCAGGACCAGCAUCAGGAGGCUAGCCCGUGAUUGUCCGAGUCGUACCUCUGCUUGAAUUGCCCGCGUUAGUUCCAUCCUUGUCCCAUUUGCCAAAGCUAUUGUUGUUCGCACUGUUCGUCUGUUAGCCGGGGUCUCGAUGAGUCGUGCCUUCUGCUUGCUGAGGAAACUCCGCGUGGCCCCCGUGUCCAGCGUCGCUAUCAUCACCUCAGCCUCGAUGCUUGCCUCGGCGGCAAGCCUGCCAUCUCGCGGACGCUAGUCCCGCUAGUCCCAGGACUCGCUCGUUGGCCCUCUCAUCUGUCCUGGGUUUGAUGAGGGGCGAUGGGCGUUUCCCGUCUCCUUAGCCUGGCAGCAGUCGAUGGUCCUCACUCCUCGGCGGCCACAGUUCCAGCAGAAUAGUGUCCGAGUUCCACGGCAUUCCCUGGCAAAGUGUCCAAGUACUCCGCAGUUCCGGCAGUUCGAGUUCCUGAGCUUCCGAGUAACCAGCGCGGUUCAUCAUUAGGCAAAUGUCCACUAGAUACUGCUUUUAUCCCUCGUUUUCCCUCUGGUAUCGCAUCCUGAUCUCGUCCUCCAGUCUCUGAAAGUACCGCGGGGGUAGGAAGAAAUCCAAAAACUCCCGGCGAAACACGUUCCAUGGCUCUCCCUGUAGAUGACUCGUGCGGAACCAGUCCUCGGCAGUACCUUUUCAAAGUUCCGGUACUCCUUGGGCCAAACUGCUGGUGUCCACUCGGUGUGAUACGGCUCGUUCCUCCAACCGCUCGAUGAAUCGCAAGGGAUCGCUGACGCCGUCAAAAGUGACUCCCCAGCGUUGCAUGCGCUCCACGCCCCUAGCUCCGGAGACGUCGCAUUGAUUUGGUAGCAUCACCCUCUCGUUGGUUCGCGACACGAACUGCUGC
RNAcentral lists this long non-coding RNA (1055 nucleotides) under Drosophila guanche. Lineage: Eukaryota; Metazoa; Arthropoda; Insecta; Diptera; Drosophilidae. The record is from RNAcentral.